CGCGUGGGUAACCCACCUUCGAAUCUGGGAUAACUCCGCGAAAGCGGUGCUAAUACCGGAUAAGACCACAGCCGUUUCGGCGGCAGAGGUAAAAGCUGACCUCUCCAUGGAAGUUAGCGUUCGAGGACGGGCCCGCGUCCUAUCAGCUUGUUGGUGGGGUAAUGGCCUACCAAGGCGACGAUCCGUAGCUGGUCUGAGAGGACGAUCAGCCACACUGGGACUGAGACACGGCCCAGACUCCUACGGGAGGCAGCAGUGGGGAAUAUUGGACAAUGGGCGCAAGCCUGAUCCAGCAAUGCCGCGUGUGUGAAGAAGGCCUGCGGGUUGUAAAGCACUUUC
RNAcentral lists this ribosomal RNA (339 nucleotides) under uncultured Thiobacillus sp. RNAcentral describes it as "bacterial SSU rRNA". It matches the Rfam family "Bacterial small subunit ribosomal RNA", at positions 114 to 437 of the family's 1533-position model. The record is from RNAcentral. Lineage: Bacteria; Pseudomonadati; Pseudomonadota; Betaproteobacteria; Nitrosomonadales; Thiobacillaceae.